GAUUGGUUAGCUCAGAGGGAAGAGCACUACACUUGUAAUGUAGCUGUCGCGGGUUCGAUUCCCGCACCAAACACCA
RNAcentral lists this transfer RNA (76 nucleotides) under Hyphococcus sp. RNAcentral describes it as "tRNA-Thr". It matches the Rfam family "tRNA". Rfam says of the family: Transfer RNA (tRNA) molecules are approximately 80 nucleotides in length. Lineage: Bacteria; Pseudomonadati; Pseudomonadota; Alphaproteobacteria; Parvularculales; Parvularculaceae. The record is from RNAcentral.